CUGAUGUGGGGCUCGAUCCCAGGACUCUGAGAUCACAACCCCAGUGGGUCCCACACUUAACCGAUGGAGCCACCCAGGCGCCCCUCAACAAAUAGUUCUUGAGCACCCAUUUAGGGGCAGAGAAAGGCCUGGGGUUGGGAAAACUCUGGAGGCAGGCCAGCCUUAAGAGUCUACUGCACCGGUCCAGGCUAGAGAAGAGCCCGGGGCCUAGGGGGCUUGGCAGGCGUGAGAAGGGGAGAAUGGAUUUCCAGAUUGGCUUGUGCUCUGUGGAGAGUGAAGAGGGUUUCAGCAACCAGGUAAGGAAACUGAGGCUAAGAGCAAAAGUUACUUCAGAACCCAGCUGGUGGCUGAACUGGGAUUUGAACUGAUGAGCAAAGCAGUUCAAGCUUAUCGCUUGCCCCAUCGGGGCCUGCCAGCGGGCUGACCCGGGGAAGGGUUCGGCUGGCCGCCAGCGUGAACUGUGCUGUUUCUGUGGGCGGAGGCGAGGGCCGCAGUGAGGAAGCGGGAGGUCAGGCCUCAGAAGCGGGACAGGAAGUUCAGCUCGGAGGCGGCUACCCUUCCAAGGCCGUUGCCGAUCUGGCAGCUUCAGA
This is a long non-coding RNA of Lutra lutra (Eurasian river otter), 590 nucleotides long. RefSeq lists it as uncharacterized. The record is from RefSeq and is a predicted model, not a curated record. Lineage: Eukaryota; Metazoa; Chordata; Mammalia; Carnivora; Mustelidae. The transcript has 3 exons.